Molecule: transfer RNA, 538 nt
Filed under: uncultured cyanobacterium
Lineage: Bacteria; Bacillati; Cyanobacteriota
Description: partial 16S-23S intergenic spacer
Rfam family: tRNA (bases 207-279)
Source: RNAcentral
AGACAACAAAAUGUUUAAUAUUAUUAUUUUGUCACCUUAGGUCGAUCGGUAUCUCACGUUUUUAAUUUAUUAAGAAUUUCAUUUCCUAAGUUUUUCUAGGUCACACCCAUUAUUUUUCCUGGGCCAUUAGCUCAGGUGGUUAGAGCGCACCCCUGAUAAGGGUGAGGUCCCUGGUUCAAGUCCAGGAUGGCCCAUAUCUCUAUGUUGGGGGUAUAGCUCAGUUGGUAGAGCGCCUGCUUUGCAAGCAGGAUGUCAGCGGUUCGAGUCCGCUUACCUCCACUGAUUACCACCUCUUCCAUAAAAUGUAAAAAGGAAAUGUUUUGAGUUGUGAUCAAAAUUCUGAAAGAUUCUAGCUUCCUAAUGAAAUCAUUAAGAUGCUGGACUCAUUGAAUUAAUUUCAUUGUUUUCAGAGAACCUUGACAACUGCAUAGAUUAUUUUUUUAAAGACAAUAAGCAUCUUAUAUGAUGCAGAUUUAUUAUUUGUGCGAAUGCAUUAAUAACAAUUCUAUUAAGCUGAUGCUUCAAUUUUGAAGUUAUU